CGCACCUACGGGGCGCAGCAGUGGGGGAUAUUGCACAAUGGGGGAAACCCUGAUGCAGCGACGCCGCGUGAGUGAAGAAGUAUUUCGGUAUGUAAAGCUCUAUUGGCAGGGAAGAAAAAAAUGACAGUACCUGACUAAGAAGCCCCGGCUAACUACGUGCCAGCAGCCGCGGUAAUACGUAGGGGGCAAGCGUUAUCCGGAUUUACUGGGUGUAAAGGGAGCGUAGACGGUUGUAUAAGUCUGGAGUGAAAGCCCGGGGCCCAACCCCGGGACUGCUUUGGAAACUGUGUAACUUGAGUACAGGG
Molecule: ribosomal RNA, 305 nt
Filed under: uncultured bacterium
Lineage: Bacteria
Description: bacterial SSU rRNA
Rfam family: Bacterial small subunit ribosomal RNA
Source: RNAcentral